This 916-nucleotide ribosomal RNA is filed under the name Treponema sp. oral taxon 508. RNAcentral describes it as "bacterial SSU rRNA". It matches the Rfam family "Bacterial small subunit ribosomal RNA", at positions 28 to 935 of the family's 1533-position model. Lineage: Bacteria; Pseudomonadati; Spirochaetota; Spirochaetia; Treponematales; Treponemataceae. The record is from RNAcentral.
AACGAACGCUGGCGGUGCGUUUUAAGCAUGCAAGUCGAACGGCAAGAAGGUGCUUGCAAUUUCCUAGAGUGGCGGACUGGUGAGUAACGCGUGGGUGAUCUACCUUUAAGAUGGGGAUAGCUUUUAGAAAUAAGAGAUAAUACCGAAUAUGCUUACGAUGUUUUGACGUUGUAAGGAAAGGAGCGUUUGCUCCGCUUGAAGAUGAGCCUGCGUCCCAUUAGCUAGUUGGUGGGGUAAAGGCCUACCAAGGCAAUGAUGGGUAUCCGGCCUGAGAGGGUGACCGGACACAUUGGGACUGAGAUACGGCCCAAACUCCUACGGGAGGCAGCAGCUGAGAAUCUUCCGCAAUGGACGAAAGUCUGACGGAGCGACACCGCGUGAAUGAUGAAGGCCGAAAGGUUGUAAAGUUCUUUUGCAGACAAAGAAUAAGGAUAGUAGGAAAUAACUGUCUGAUGACGGUAGUUAUGCGAAUAAGCCCCGGCUAAUUACGUGCCAGCAGCCGCGGUAAUACGUAAGGGGCGAGCGUUGUUCGGAAUUAUUGGGCGUAAAGGGCAUGUAGGCGGUUUAGUAAGCCUGAUGUGAAAUCUACGAGCUUAACUCGUAAACUGCAUUGGGUACUGCUUAACUAGAGUUAUGGAGGGGAAACUGGAAUUCCAAGUGUAGGGGUGGAAUCUGUAGAUAUUUGGAAGAACACCGGUGGCGAAGGCGGGUUUCUAGCCAAUAACUGACGCUGAUAUGCGAAGGUGCGGGGAGCAAACAGGAUUAGAUACCCUGGUAGUCCGCACAGUAAACUAUGUACACUAGAUGUUGGGGUAAGACUCAGUGUUGAAAGCAAACGCAAUAAGUGUACCGCCUGGGGAGUAUGCCCGCAAGGGUGAAACUCCAAAGAAUUGACGGGGGCCCACACAAGCGGUGG